GAGAGUUUGAUCCUGGCUCAGGAUGAACGCUGGCGGCAGGCUUAACACAUGCAAGUCGAGGGGUAUAGGUUUUCGGACCUAGAGACCGGCGCACGGGUGCGUAACGCGUAUGCAAUCUACCUUUUACAGAGGGAUAGCCCAGAGAAAUUUGGAUUAAUACCUCAUAGUAUUAUUGAAUGGCAUCAUUUAAUAAUUAAAGUUCCAACGGUAAAAGAUGAGCAUGCGUCCCAUUAGCUAGAUGGUAAGGUAACGGCUUACCAUGGCGACGAUGGGUAGGGGUCCUGAGAGGGAGAUCCCCCACACUGGUACUGAGACACGGACCAGACUCCUACGGGAGGCAGCAGUGAGGAAUAUUGGUCAAUGGGCGCAAGCCUGAACCAGCCAUGCCGCGUGCAGGAUGACGGUCCUAUGGAUUGUAAACUGCUUUUGUACAGGAAGAAACACUGGUUCGUGAACCAGCUUGACGGUACUGUAAGAAUAAGGAUCGGCUAACUCCGUGCCAGCAGCCGCGGUAAUACGGAGGAUCCAAGCGUUAUCCGGAAUCAUUGGGUUUAAAGGGUCCGUAGGCGGUUUUGUAAGUCAGUGGUGAAAGCCCAUCGCUCAACGGUGGAACGGCCAUUGAUACUGCAAGACUUGAAUUACUAGGAAGUAACUAGAAUAUGUAGUGUAGCGGUGAAAUGCUUAGAUAUUACAUGGAAUACCAAUUGCGAAAGGCAGGUUACUACUGGUGGAUUGACGCUGAUGGACGAAAGCGUGGGGAGCGAACAGGAUUAGAUACCCUGGUAGUCCACGCCGUAAACGAUGGAUACUAGCUGUUCGAGAGCAAUCUUGAGUGGCUAAGCGAAAGUGAUAAGUAUCCCACCUGGGGAGUACGUUCGCAAGAAUGAAACUCAAAGGAAUUGACGGGGGCCCGCACAAGCGGUGGAGCAUGUGGUUUAAUUCGAUGAUACGCGAGGAACCUUACCUGGGCUAGAAUGCUAAGUGACCGUGGGUGAAAGCUCAUUUUGUAGCAAUACACACUUAGUAAGGUGCUGCAUGGUUGUCGUCAGCUCGUGCCGUGAGGUGUUAGGUUAAGUCCUGCAACGAGCGCAACCCCUGUCACUAGUUGCUAGCAUUAAGUUGAGGACUCUAGUGAGACUGCCUACGCAAGUAGAGAGGAAGGUGGGGAUGACGUCAAAUCAUCACGGCCCUUACGCCUUGGGCCACACACGUAAUACAAUGGCCGGUACAGAGGGCAGCUACACAGCGAUGUGAUGCAAAUCUCGAAAGCCGGUCUCAGUUCGGAUUGGAGUCUGCAACUCGACUCUAUGAAGCUGGAAUCGCUAGUAAUCGCGCAUCAGCCAUGGCGCGGUGAAUACGUUCCCGGGCCUUGUACACACCGCCCGUCAAGCCAUGGAAGUCUGGGGUACCUGAAGUCGGUGACCGUAACAGGAGCUGCCUAGGGUAAAACAGGUAACUAGGGCUAAGUCGUAACAAGGUAGCCGUA
Molecule: ribosomal RNA, 1486 nt
Filed under: uncultured Bacteroidota bacterium
Lineage: Bacteria; Pseudomonadati; Bacteroidota
Description: uncultured Bacteroidetes bacterium 16S ribosomal RNA
Rfam family: Bacterial small subunit ribosomal RNA
Source: RNAcentral